This 254-nucleotide ribosomal RNA is filed under the name uncultured bacterium. Its description in RNAcentral is "partial 16S ribosomal RNA". It matches the Rfam family "Bacterial small subunit ribosomal RNA", at positions 524 to 776 of the family's 1533-position model. The record is from RNAcentral.
UACGGGGGGAGCAAGCGUUGUUCGGAUUUACUGGGCGUAAAGGGCGCGUAGGCGGUCGUGACAAGUCACUUGUGAAAUCUCCGGGCUUAACUCGGAACUGCCAAGUGAUACUAUCGUGCUAGAGUGCAGAAGGGGCAAUCGGAAUUCUUGGUGUAGCGGUGAAAUGCGUAGAUAUCAAGAGGAACACCAGAGGCGAAGGCGGAUUGCUGGGCUGACACUGACGCUGAGGCGCGAAAGCUAGGGUAGCAAACGGG